GAGAUCCCCGGCCACCUCUUGGAGGAGAUAUUCCUCCUGCUGCCCUCCGCAGAAGACCUCGCCCGCACCUCCGCCGUCUGCGUCACGUUCCGCUGGCUCGUCACCGACAGCUCAUUCCUCCGCCGCUUCCACCGCCUCCACGCACCGCCACUCCUCGGCUUCCUUGACAUCGACGGGUUCCAUCCGGCUCUGCCGCCUCACCCCUCCGCGCCCGCCGCCCAUGCGCUCGCCCUCGCCGCCGACUUCACCUUCUCCUUCCUCCCCUCCCACUGCCAAUGGACCGUCCAGGACAUCCGCGACGGCCGCGUCCUUUUUGAGCGUAAGCAUGGAAAGGACGAGGAGGAUCUCCCGAUCUUCCCGGAGCUUGUGGUGUGCGACCCCUUGCACCGGCGGUACAUCCUGCUCCCCUCAGUGCCCGACGACCUAGCGGCAUCGGUUGAGAAGCAAGGCCGGUUUUUUGGGAGCUUCUGCGAGCCCAGCCUCAUUCCACCCAACGAGGGGGAGACUGAAGAGACUGCCUUCAGAGUGAACUGGUUGGCACGCUGCGGCAUUAACCUGGCCGCCUUCGUAUUCUCUUCGAGCACUGGGCUAUGGCAAGCCACCGCAUCGCAGCCGUGGACGAAUUUGUUCAUUGGCGAUCUGCCUUUAUAUUUUCUCAAGCGUCAUUUCGCUUGUGGUUGCAUCUAUUGGGCCUCGCCGAUGAACAAGAAAGAGCUGCUUGUGCUUGACAUCAGGACUAUGGAGUUCUCCAUUGCUGACUUCCCACCUGAUGCAUGGCUCCAGCUACAGGUAGCUAUUGUGGAUGCAGGGGAAGGCAGGCUUGGCAUGUUUAGCACCCAUGAUGGAAAUGCAUUCUAUGAAUCUAUUCUCUGUUAUAUGGUUAGGCAAAACAAAGGUGAGAGUUCCGGCCAGUGGGUUAUGAAGACAAUCUCUUAG
This 936-nucleotide ribosomal RNA is filed under the name Triticum aestivum (bread wheat). RNAcentral's name for it is "partial small subunit ribosomal RNA". Lineage: Eukaryota; Viridiplantae; Streptophyta; Magnoliopsida; Poales; Poaceae. The record is from RNAcentral.